This 465-nucleotide ribosomal RNA is filed under the name Vreelandella stevensii. RNAcentral describes it as "partial 16S ribosomal RNA". It matches the Rfam family "Bacterial small subunit ribosomal RNA", at positions 338 to 795 of the family's 1533-position model. The record is from RNAcentral. Lineage: Bacteria; Pseudomonadati; Pseudomonadota; Gammaproteobacteria; Oceanospirillales; Halomonadaceae.
CCUACGGGCGGCAGCAGUGGGGAAUAUUGGACAAUGGGCGAAAGCCUGAUCCAGCCAUGCCGCGUGUGUGAAGAAGGCCUUCGGGUUGUAAAGCACUUUCAGUGGGGAAGAAAGCCUUGGGGCUAAUACCCUCGAGGAAGGACAUCACCCACAGAAGAAGCACCGGCUAACUCCGUGCCAGCAGCCGCGGUAAUACGGAGGGUGCGAGCAUUAAUCGGAAUUACUGGGCGUAAAGCGCGCGUAGGCGGUCUGAUAAGCCGGUUGUGAAAGCCCCGGGCUCAACCUGGGAACGGCAUCCGGAACUGUCAGGCUAGAGUGCAGGAGAGGAAGGUAGAAUUCCCGGUGUAGCGGUGAAAUGCGUAGAGAUCGGGAGGAAUACCAGUGGCGAAGGCGGCCUUCUGGACUGACACUGACGCUGAGGUGCGAAAGCGUGGGUAGCAAACAGGAUUAGAUACCCCAGUAGUC